This 67-nucleotide transfer RNA is filed under the name Balaenoptera physalus (Fin whale). Its description in RNAcentral is "tRNA-Pro". Lineage: Eukaryota; Metazoa; Chordata; Mammalia; Artiodactyla; Balaenopteridae. The record is from RNAcentral.
CNGGGAAUAGUUUAUGUAGAAUUUCAGCUUUGGGUGCUGAUGGUGGAGUAUAAUACUUCUUCCUUGA